Molecule: transfer RNA, 97 nt
Filed under: Streptomyces chrestomyceticus JCM 4735
Lineage: Bacteria; Bacillati; Actinomycetota; Actinomycetes; Kitasatosporales; Streptomycetaceae
Description: tRNA-Arg
Source: RNAcentral
CCGACCUGGUGGGGGCGGCCCUGGCUCCCGGGCUGCUGCGGCUGGCCCGGGAGGAGGCGCCGGAGGUCUCACUGCGGUUCCGGGCCGAGGAGCUGGA